This 279-nucleotide ribosomal RNA is filed under the name uncultured bacterium. RNAcentral's name for it is "partial 16S ribosomal RNA". It matches the Rfam family "Bacterial small subunit ribosomal RNA", at positions 506 to 784 of the family's 1533-position model. The record is from RNAcentral.
UGCCAGCCGCCGCGGUAAUACGGAGGGUGCGAGCGUUAAUCGGAAUUACUGGGCAUAAAGCGCACGUAGGCGGCCUAUCAAGUCAGAUGUGAAAGCCCCCGGCCCAACCGGGGAACUGCAUCUGAAACUGGUAGGCUCGAGGAUGGCAGGGGUGAGUGGAACUCCAGGUGGAACGGUGAAAUGUGUAGAUAUCUGGAGGAACACCGGUGGCGAAAGCGGCUCACUGGGCCAUCACUGACGCUGAGGUGCGAAAGCUAGGGUAGCAAACGGGAUUAGAUA